This 253-nucleotide ribosomal RNA is filed under the name uncultured bacterium. Its description in RNAcentral is "partial 16S ribosomal RNA". It matches the Rfam family "Bacterial small subunit ribosomal RNA", at positions 524 to 776 of the family's 1533-position model. The record is from RNAcentral.
UACGGGGGGUGCGAGCGUUGUCCGGAAUCACUGGGCGUAAAGGGCGCGUAGGUGGUUUGAUAAGGGUGUGGUGAAAGUCCGGGGCUCAACCCCGGAUCUGCCGUGCCGACUGUCAAACUCGAGGGCUGUAGAGGCAGACGGAAUUCCGGGUGUAGCGGUGGAAUGCGUAGAGAUCCGGAGGAAGACCGGUGGCGAAGGCGGUCUUCUGGGCAGUUUCUGACACUGAUGCGCGAAAGCGUGGGGAGCAAACAGG